RNAcentral lists this ribosomal RNA (851 nucleotides) under Penaeus vannamei (Pacific white shrimp). RNAcentral describes it as "partial 28S ribosomal RNA". The stretch from base 1 to 339 matches the Rfam family "Eukaryotic large subunit ribosomal RNA", at positions 75 to 358 of the family's 3401-position model. The record is from RNAcentral. Lineage: Eukaryota; Metazoa; Arthropoda; Malacostraca; Decapoda; Penaeidae.
UUCCCUGAGUAAGUGCGACCGAAACGGGAAGAGCCCAGCGCAAAGCCUCGCGUCCCCUUCGCGGGGGGCUCGAGGGGUGCUGCGUUCGGGAGAGGUCCUGCACGCGCUCCCGAGCCGCCUAAGUUGUUCAUGAAUGACUCUCAUACCCAGGGAGGGUGUCAGGCCCGUGUGGCGGAAAGAGACUUCCUCCUCCUCGUUCGCGGGGAGGGGGGUUUCGGGAGUGCGGAACGGGCCUCUCCUUAGAGUCGGGUUGCCUGAAACCGCAACCUAAAGCAGGUGGUAAACUCCAUCUAAGGCUAAAUAUGACCACGAGACCGAUAGCGAACAAGUACCGUGAGGGAAAGUUGAAACAGAACCCUGUAGAGAGAGUUCAAGAGAACGUGAAACCGUUAAGAGGCUAAACGGGCGGAGAUUCGAAGAUCGAACUGGGGGGAUUCAGUUCGUCGGCCUGCCGGGAGACGGUAGCGGGCGUGUUGCGACUUCCCGUUCCGGAGGCCUCGUGCCGAAGGAGCCUUGAGUGGGGAGCGCCGCCCGCCGCCUGCCCGGCGCCGGCGGGCGAUCUUCCCCCCGCAGUAGGUCGCCGCGACGCGUUGGGAUGAUGGGCGUCUGAGGCCCGGGUCCUGGUAGGAACCGGCGGCGCGUUCGGCCCUUCCUUGCUCGACUCGUCGGGCGGGGUUGGUCGUUUUCCAGCGCGCCCGUCCGGGGAUCCCCCGGUGCCCUCGUCUUGCUCCCCCGACGGUCUCUCCUCCGGGGCCGUCCGAGAUCGGGGGUGGGGUCCGAGGCCGCGGUCGAGCCUAGCCUCCUCCUUUCGGGGGGGUCGUCUGGCUUCCCGCGCUUCCCCUUCCCCCACU